GUAGGUGAACCUGCGGAAGGAUCAUUAUUGAAAUAAACCUGAUGGGUUGCUGCUGGCUCUCUAGGGAGCAUGUGCACGCUUGUCAUCUUUAUAUCUCCACCUGUGCACCUUUUGUAGAUCUGGAUAUCUUUCUGAAUGCCUGGCAUUCAGGUUUGAGGAUUGACUUUCGUCUUUCCUUACAUUUCCAGGCCUAUGUUUUCUUCAUAUACCCCAUGUAUGUUAUAGAAUGUAAUAAAACGGGCCUUUGUGCCUACAAACCUAUACAACUUUCAGCAACGGAUCUCUUGGCUCUC
RNAcentral lists this unclassified non-coding RNA (293 nucleotides) under rhizosphere metagenome. Its description in RNAcentral is "partial ribosomal RNA internal transcribed spacer region". The record is from RNAcentral.